Pelobates cultripes (western spadefoot toad) is the source of this 243-nucleotide non-coding RNA. NCBI's taxonomy places the organism in Eukaryota, Metazoa, Chordata, Amphibia, Anura, Pelobatidae. The record is from the annotation of a GenBank genome assembly.
CUCUUCCCUCGGGACAAGCAUCUAAAAUAAAUUAACAUAAAAAGUUCCUCCCCUUACCAGGUAUAAGAGACCAAACCAGCCCUGGGAUCUCAGUUCUCUUUCUUGUUCCAUCAGGAAUAGACGGCAUCUGGAAUGAGAUGGUGAGGCACAUGGGUUUCUGCCAGGGGGAUCCGGUCUGAUAGCGUCCCUGGUGGAGAGCUGAAUGGCCAGCAAGCAUCCUACAGGAUUACGGAGCAGGUAUGG